CGAUUUUCGCAAUGCCCGAAAGGGUGAACGAGCAACGCCGCGUGUGGGAAGAAGGCCUUCGGGUUGUAAACCACUGUCGGGAGUUAGGAAAUGCAGGUGCGUUAAUAGCGCACUUGCUUGACUAAGGCUCCAGAGGAAGCCACGGCUAACUCUGUGCCAGCAGCCGCGGUAAUACAGAGGCGGCAAGCGUUGUUCGGAAUUAUUGGGCGUAAAGAGCACGUAGGCGGCCUUGCAAGUCAGUUGUGAAAGCCUUCCGCUUAACGGAAGAACGGCAUCUGAUACUACAGGGCUUGAGUACGGGAGGGGAGAGUGGAACUUCUGGUGGAGCGGUGAAAUGCGUAGAUAUCAGAAGGAACGCCGGCGGCGAAAGCGACUCUCUGGUCCAUAACUGACGCUGAGUGUGCGAAAGCUAGGGGAGCAAACGGGAUUAGAUACCCCGGUAGUCCUAGCCGUAAACGAUGGGCACUAAGUAGAGGGGUUUU
Molecule: ribosomal RNA, 482 nt
Filed under: uncultured anaerobic ammonium-oxidizing bacterium
Lineage: Bacteria
Description: bacterial SSU rRNA
Rfam family: Bacterial small subunit ribosomal RNA
Source: RNAcentral